CCAAAGGCCCUUUUCAGGGCCGCCCACUUUUUUCAUAAAAGAGCAG
Molecule: non-coding RNA, 46 nt
Organism: Homo sapiens (human)
Lineage: Eukaryota; Metazoa; Chordata; Mammalia; Primates; Hominidae
Source: Rfam